RNAcentral lists this transfer RNA (74 nucleotides) under Nippostrongylus brasiliensis. It matches the Rfam family "tRNA". Rfam says of the family: Transfer RNA (tRNA) molecules are approximately 80 nucleotides in length. Lineage: Eukaryota; Metazoa; Nematoda; Chromadorea; Rhabditida; Heligmosomidae. The record is from Rfam by way of RNAcentral.
GUCUCAAUAGUGUAGUGGUUAACACACGUGCGUCGGAUAGGCGCGAGACGUGGGUUCGAAUUCCGUUCGAGCCG